AUUGAACGCUGGCGGCAGGCUUAACACAUGCAAGUUGAGCGGGGGACAGUAUUUAGGUACUGACCUUAGCGGCGGACGGGUGAGUAAUACUUAGGAUCCUGCCUAUUAGUGGGGGACAACAUCCCGAAAGUGAUGCUAAUACCGCGUACGUCCUAGGGGAGGACGCAGGGGCUCUUUAUGACCUUGCGCUAAUAGAUGAGCCUAAGGGGGAUGAGCUAGUUGGGGGGGUAAAGGCCUACCAAGGCGACGAUCUGUAGCGGGUCAGAGAGGAUGAUCCGCCACGCUGGGACGGAGACACGGCCGAGGCUCCUACGGGAGGCAGCAGGGGGGAAUAUUGGACAAUGGGGGGAACCCUGAUCCAGCCAUGCCGCGUGUGUGAAGAAGGCCUUAUGGUUGUACAGCACUUUAAGCGAGGAGGAGGCUCUUUUUGUUAAUACCCAAGAUGAGUGGACGUUACUCGCAGAAUAAGCACCGGCUAACUCUGUGCCAGCAGCCGCGGUAA
This 502-nucleotide ribosomal RNA is filed under the name uncultured bacterium. RNAcentral's name for it is "partial 16S ribosomal RNA". It matches the Rfam family "Bacterial small subunit ribosomal RNA", at positions 30 to 523 of the family's 1533-position model. The record is from RNAcentral.